CUUUUUCUUUUUCUUUCCCUUUCCCUUCCCCUCUCCUUUCACGUGCAGCAGCCCUAAGUCCUCUUCCCCGAUUCGAGCCGUCGCUCAGCCACCACUCUCCGUCGCUCGUCCUCCGCGAGCCAGCUACCUCGCCUCUUCAGCCGACCCAACCCACUCUCGUCACGUCGCUGCAAAAGCUCAGCCCCUCGCCAUUUUGCCCAACUGGAACCCACUCAGUCGUCAUUUCUCUUCAGUAGCGCGCCACCCUUGCCAAGACUAGAUCAGCGCUUCAAUCGUCGUUUAUGACUUUAGCUUUCGGCCGCCUUUCCACGCUCGCCUAGCUGCCGAUCGAAACGUAGCUGUUGCUACAACCGUCGACUCCAGCCCUGUCUCUGUUUCACCACUGUUGUAGCCAAGGUACCGCCUGCGUCUACACUGUUUUGCAAUGGUCCGACCAGCUUCAUCCGUCCAGUUGUGCCAUUUUUUUUUCUUUCGGUCACGACCAUCGCUGCCGCUGUCAUUUGGGUCUCGUUGGAUUCUUGAAUAAUUUGGAUUCAAAGAUUGGAGAUUUUGAGACAUUGCUUUGAGUUUGAGACUAUUUCCGAUAAAAAUUGUUCAAAUUUGCAUGGGGUGCGUUCGGACCAACACACUUUGGUCCUGAUUCAAGAUUCAUCUAAACUAGGAGGAAGAUUAUUUUUCUCGUCGCUUAGACAUAAUUUUGGGUAAGGGUAGAGAUACACCGGUGAUGGCGCAGCGGAAUUCGUGAUCGAGCUACUGGGACUAGU
Long non-coding RNA from Benincasa hispida (wax gourd), 764 nucleotides. RefSeq lists it as uncharacterized. The record is from RefSeq and is a predicted model, not a curated record. NCBI's taxonomy places the organism in Eukaryota, Viridiplantae, Streptophyta, Magnoliopsida, Cucurbitales, Cucurbitaceae.